Long non-coding RNA from Oenanthe melanoleuca, 202 nucleotides. RefSeq lists it as uncharacterized. The transcript has 3 exons. NCBI's taxonomy places the organism in Eukaryota, Metazoa, Chordata, Aves, Passeriformes, Muscicapidae. The record is from RefSeq and is a predicted model, not a curated record.
ACUCAGGGGUCACUCGGGGGUCAGUGGUCACUCAGGGGUCACUCAGGGGUCACUCAGGGGUCACUCAGGGGUCACUCAGGGGUCACUCAGGGGUCACUCAGGGUCACUCAGGGGUCACUCAGGGGUCACUCAUGGUCACUCAGGGGUCACUCAGGGGUCACCCAGGGGUCACUCAGGGGUCACUCAGGGGUCACCCAGGGGU